CACAGGUGAAGGCAAUUCACCUGUGUGACUGGAAGGGGUGGAGCCUGGCUGCACCUCUCCUAGACCCCAUUUAAGGGCUGACUGCCACCAGAAAAGGAUCUCUUCCUGGAGAUUGCUCCUUGGGGAGUUUUUGUGAGUCUACAACACUGCUUACAUUCCCAUCAUGCCUUGUAGAAAAAAUCCACGGGGGACGAAAGAUAACACUGAGUCCAAACCCUGAGAACAGAGCCCCAUGAAAGCAACAAAUUAUAAACUCUACUGAAGAGAUUUUCUUCAGAAAGAUCACAGGUCCCAUGCUUUAGUCAUGGCCUGUUCCUCUGCCAGCAGGUUCAGAGAGUGAUCUGUGAGAGCUAAGUGAUUUCUUUCAAGUAAGCUGCUCACGAUGACUACAGAAACCUCAAGGAUUACAGUACACAAACAAAGGGAGAAAAGCUGCUUCAAAUAAUACACCCAGACAAUGGAGUUGCCGUGAUGGUAGCAAUGCAAAAUAUGGACAGGGAUUUAAAUGAAACGGGUGAUAUCUGUAUAGUUUGGAGGGCUCACGUGUGCCAAAUUUGGCAGCAUGAGUGUUCAUAUUGCUUGUUGCUCCACCCCUUGAACAAUGAGGCUAAACCCCAUAUGUGCAGGAGUUGGUAGAGCACAAGCAGUUCUGCUAAUCACACUGCAUGCAAAAGCAAAAAGACAAAGGGAACUAGUAAUGCUUAGACUAGCAUUGGGGAAAUAAUUAAGCAUGAAUGAAAUAUUGUAUGUGGAUUUGAAAUGAAUGCGAGGCAUUCUUGGAAACAAUUGUGCUGUUUCAGUUGUGCUGCUUUCCCCCCUAAGUUUCACAAAGUAAUUUGCAUGUCAUUUAAAUAAAUACCAUAAAUUAUUGCAAACUUUUUGUUUUUAUUUACAUAAAACAAAAUACUCAUUUCCAUUAUUGUUUGGAUUACCUGACAAGAGUGAAAUGCAGAGGCCUUUGAGAUCAAACUUGUCUCUUCUCCUCAAAAUACUACAGAUUUCUCAUGCAUGCGUGAGCCAGAAAUGAC
This 1028-nucleotide long non-coding RNA is filed under the name Gallus gallus (chicken). Lineage: Eukaryota; Metazoa; Chordata; Aves; Galliformes; Phasianidae. The record is from RNAcentral.